AAACGGAAUGCCAAAAAGGCACCGUGACCGAAUUUUCCAUCUAAUCGCCAUUCCUGCCAAAAAAGCACAUCCCCACCGCCGAGGAGUUCGACGGCGAUGCCUCGGAAAUCGUCCAAGGGGGAUGGGAAGGCCGCCGCCGACGCACUCCAACGCCUCCGCCGUCGAGGAUGCACCCGUGGAGACGCCGCCUCCCCGUCCCGAGGCCCCCGCGACGCCGGUGGAAGCUUCUUCGUCCGGGACCGCCGCGGUGGGUGGCGGCCCGGAGGAAGAGGACUUGAGAAGGCUCCACGAGCUGGUGGGAUUUGGUCGGGAGAGAGUGGAGUUGACUGAGGAGGAGGUGCGCGCCAACCAUCAGAGGCAGGAGGACGAGGGCUAGAAUUUUUUUUUAUCUCAAUAAAAGGAUGCACGCUGAGAGCACUGUGGAACCAAGAAUCGUAAAGUUCACUACUUUAUCAGAUAUGUGCCCUGGAAGCGAUUUUCGGCGACAACCUAGUCAUGUUCAGUAGAAAGGAGGGCCAGCGAUCUUUCCAGGUUCAUGUGCAUAUUGAGAUCCCAGAAGAUGGUAAAGAUGUAUCGGUGAGGCUCAGUUUUGGUACUGGAGCACUAGAUUAUAAGCAAGUACAUGGUCAUGAUGGCGAUGCCAGCGAUGAGCUGUUUUACAAGUUUAGGGUUCAGCAUUUACCUUCAAUCCUGUUAUCAUGCCUCCUGCCUUCGUCAUACCCUAGCCAUCAACCACCCUUUUUCACUAUAUCCACCGAAUGGCUGGACAGAGUGAUGAUUUCGUCAUUAUGUCACAUGCUGGAUAUGACCUGGGAAGAGCAACAGGGGCAUGGAAGUAAUAUAUCAGUGGGUGCAACGGCUCCAAAGCUCUUCCCUUUCUUACUUAGGGUUUGACGAUGAGAUAAUUUUAAGAAAGGCUGAUCAAACGUAUGCUCAAGAUGGUGGGGAUAAGCGUGCUUUAACAUACAAUGCUCCACCUGAUGUUACAAUUCCAAGGAUUAUUAGAUACAAUGAUGAUAAGCGUCAUGAGGCCUUUUUGUAUGCUAUCCAUUACUGCACGAUUUGUUUUAGUGUCGAUUUCAUCAAACUACCAUGCCAUCAUUUCUUUUGCCAGAAAUGCAUGCAAACAUAUUGCAAAAUGCAUGUCAAGGAAGGAACUGUAGUGAAGUUGUUGUGUCCUGAUACAAAAUGUGGAGCCGUUGUUCCUCCCAAUAUAUUGAAAAGGUUGCUAGGGGAGGACGAGUUUGAACGUUGGGAAACAUUGCUUCUUCAGAGAACUCUUGAUGCAAUGGUUGAUGUUGUUUAUUGUCCGAGAUGUCAAACUGCUUGCUUGGAAGAUGCAGGUGAUGAAGCCGUGUGUCCAAGUUGUUUGUUCAGCUUCUGUGCACUUUGUAGAGAGCGCCGUCAUGUUGGGGUUGAAUGUUUAUCUGCAGAAGAAAAAAUUCAAAUUUUGGAGGAACGUCAAAAGUCUGCACGAACAAAGGGAGACAUUCAGAAGCUUAUGGAUGAAGUAUGCACCAUCAAGGAAAUUUUGAAGGAUGCAAAGCAGUGCCCGCAUUGCAAGAUGGCUAUAUCUAAGAUUGAGGGAUGCAAUAAGAUGACCUGUUGGAACUGCGGCAGAUUUUUCUGCUACCAAUGCAGCGCUGCAAUUAGUGGAUAUGAUCAUUUCAAUGGUGAUUGUGUGAUAUUUGAUGAGGCUGAAAUCGAUAGAUGGCAGAUGCCAAUGAAUCGAAGGCUACACCGCAUGGUUGUUGGACAAGCUCAGGUUGCCUUGCUUGCCCGAGGACAUGCUUACCCGUGUCCUACCUGCGGCCAAGCAAUUCGAAAGAUUGGAAACAACAACCAUCUCUACUGUUGGUCAUGCAACCAACACUGCUGCGCAUUGUGCCGCACGUCUGUUCAGAAGAUGUCACAGCAUUUUGGUCCAACAGGAUGUAAGCAACAUACUGAAAAUCCAUGAUGCUAUGCCCGCAGCCUCGAAGUAAUUGGAAUGUCCAAAGGUUCUCUUGCAUUGUACUCCCUUCGUUCAGAAUUACUUGUCACAAAAAUGGAUGUAUCUAUAACUAAAAUACAUCUAGAUACAUUCAUUUCUUGGACGAGUAAUUCCGAACGGAGGAGGGAGUACUUGUGGUAACAGCAUUUCCUUUCCGGUGUAUGUUUCUUUGUUAAGAAUUUGUUUGUCCCCUUGUAUGAUUAACAAAAUCUUUUAAACCUGUGAGGCUGGGAUGUGUGUAUGUCGAAUUAAGUUAAAUGUUUGUUGGC
RNAcentral lists this ribosomal RNA (2262 nucleotides) under Triticum aestivum (bread wheat). Its description in RNAcentral is "partial small subunit ribosomal RNA". The record is from RNAcentral. Lineage: Eukaryota; Viridiplantae; Streptophyta; Magnoliopsida; Poales; Poaceae.